UAGUCUUUUAAUUAAAGACUGGGAAUGAAUGGUCUCACUGAGUAAUCAUGUCUUAUUGUUAUAUUUCAAAUUUUAUAUUUUAGUAAAAAAGCUAAAAUUUCCUUUAAAGACAAGAAGACCCUAUUAAGCUUUAUAAUUAUAAUUUAACAUCAAUAUAAAUAAAAAAUUAUUUUACUGGGGCAGUAGAUAAAACAAAAUUUUAUUUUUAAAAUGUGACAACAAUUCUAUAAAAACCAAAAAAUUUUUAAAAAGAAAUAAGUUACUAUAGGGAUAACAGCAUAAUUNGCUUUAAGAGUUCUUAUCAUCAAGAAAGUUU
Molecule: ribosomal RNA, 316 nt
Filed under: Euscorpius tauricus (Crimean scorpion)
Lineage: Eukaryota; Metazoa; Arthropoda; Arachnida; Scorpiones; Euscorpiidae
Description: partial 16S ribosomal RNA
Source: RNAcentral